CCUACGGGUGGCAGCAGUGGGGAAUAUUGGACAAUGGGGGGAACCCUGAUCCAGCCAUGCCGCGUGUGUGAAGAAGGCCCUCGGGUUGUAAAGCACUUUCAGUGAGGAAGAACGCCUGGUGGUUAAUACCCAUCAGGAAAGACAUCACUCACAGAAGAAGCACCGGCUAACUCCGUGCCAGCAGCCGCGGUAAUACGGAGGGUGCGAGCGUUAAUCGGAAUUACUGGGCGUAAAGCGCGCGUAGGUGGCUUGAUAAGCCGGUUGUGAAAGCCCCGGGCUCAACCUGGGAACGGCAUCCGGAACUGUCAAGCUAGAGUGCAGGAGAGGAAGGUAGAAUUCCCGGUGUAGCGGUGAAAUGCGUAGAGAUCGGGAGGAAUACCAGUGGCGAAGGCGGCCUUCUGGACUGACGCUGACACUGAGGUGCGAGAGCGUGGGUAGCAAACAGGAUUAGAUACCCCUGUAGUC
Molecule: ribosomal RNA, 465 nt
Filed under: Vreelandella stevensii
Lineage: Bacteria; Pseudomonadati; Pseudomonadota; Gammaproteobacteria; Oceanospirillales; Halomonadaceae
Description: partial 16S ribosomal RNA
Rfam family: Bacterial small subunit ribosomal RNA
Source: RNAcentral